This 282-nucleotide unclassified non-coding RNA is filed under the name Hevea brasiliensis (rubber tree). The record is from RNAcentral. Lineage: Eukaryota; Viridiplantae; Streptophyta; Magnoliopsida; Malpighiales; Euphorbiaceae.
UUUUAGCUGGGGGUUUAAAUUCUCUUGACGAAACAGAUUACUCUACAGAAAGGUGGACAGAAAUUGUUAAGUAUUAUGAAGAGAUGGGAAAGCCAAUACCAAAGUUUGAAGUAAUGAAGUAUUUGAAGAGUAAAGAAUAUACAGAUGCUAAGGAUUUCGCUGGGGAAUGCGAGUCUGUUGUCAUGAUUGCCAAAGGACAGAGCGUGCAAGGAACGUGCAAGUAUGGAACACGAGUGGAUUACAUACUUUCAUCAUCCGAUUCACCAUACAAGUUUGUUCCAG